This 12554-nucleotide long non-coding RNA is filed under the name Homo sapiens (human). Its description in RNAcentral is "HSALNT0346219". The record is from RNAcentral. Lineage: Eukaryota; Metazoa; Chordata; Mammalia; Primates; Hominidae.
AAAUGGAGAACAGCUGCUCACGCUCGUCGUCUGACAUCAGCUAUUUCUCAGGAUGACCCUGCGAGACAGGCCAGGGUCAUUAGACCCAAUUUGGUUCUCAGCAAAUAUGUGUUUAUUCCUGCAUGCGUGGGCCACAGGCUGGUUUCUUGGGUGCAAUGAAUAGCUGCAGGUUUAUUAGGGUGUCUUUUUAGAUGGAUGUAUGUUUCCCGAUGUCUAUAGAACACUCCGGACCCCGGAGAGUGAAGACUCUGCCUGUCGGACUUGCUUUGAGAAGAUCCUUCUCCACCUCCCCAUGGCAGAAGUUGCUUCACAGAGGGGAACAGUUUUAUGGAUGUGGCUGAGACCUUAAACUUGAGGCAACCCAUCUGAGGUGGCAUCCAGAGGAGACUGGCUGGCCCCUCCUUCACCUUGGAUGUAGUGCUGUUUCUAGGAUCUCUUUUCAAUCAGCAAAACAGGGGAUGUUCCAAGAGGGUGUGGAUUCCCUGCCAUCCCACAUGGUCAAGUGGAGGGGACGGGAAAAAGCUAUGAAGGGUUUGUGACCACACAGACUCUCCUGGCCCCCUGUCCUUUUGGAAAGAAGACAGGGAUGAAAUAUAAUCAAGCAAUUAACCACCCCCAUCAUCACCAAGAACAACAGUAUCAACAAGAAGAACAGGGACAACAAAACCCACGGAUGAAACAUUCCUUUCUCAGCUCAGAUCUUAUCUGGUGCGUUCUCUCUCUGCUCUGUCUUGGUGUGUGGUUUAGAGAAACAUGGACAACGCUGUUUGGAAGAACAGGUGAGCGAGGGUGGGGAAUUUCAGAGGCCUGGGCCCACCGCCUCCACCCCUUCCCCAGUUUAACCUUUGACAGGAUCUUCACCUCUCUCUGAUCAGCAUUGCUUCUUGUUCAAAGGCCUCAGCCACCCAGCUGUGUCCCUUUCCCCAGAAAGCAAGGGCAGAUGGCAGUGGGUCUGUUGAUGAGAGAACUUUAAGGGCCCAAUCAGUCCCUGGGCACCCCCUCCUGGGCUCGUUUUCUCCAGGAGGCUGCAUUCUGAUCCAUAAACCUUCUCCUCGGGGUUUAGGGUCGAGCUGUUCCUGAUGUUUAUCGGAGACUGGGAUCAAAGCUAUCCAGGUCAUAAAUCUCUCUCUGUGGCUGUUGGGCCCCAGGGCAGCUGAAGAGGGUUGACAGCCCUUUGGACCUCAAAGGAAAAAAUGUGCUCUACUCCACCCACUCCCAGCUCUGCCAAGAAGCUGUCCUCUGAGAAGCCAUGGCUGGGCCGUUCCAUUCUGGGGAGCUGCUGAAAAGAGCUGGGAGGCCGAGAAGAACUUGCGUGUGCUGGGGGAGAGGAAGCCUGGCCUUGAGGGAGGGGUGCAGGUGUGGCUCCUCUGUGUGUGGGGGCUGGGGGACCUUGUGUGCCUUUUCCUUGUGGCUGUGAAAUGCUUUAUGAGUACUUCCAUAGGAGGAUGGACAGGGAGUCGGGGAGAUAAACUCAGCCACAAGGCCCCAGGGCCUCAGGAAACUUGCACCCAACCCUCUCAUUUUACAGAAGAAAACUGUGCCUGGAAGGUUGAAGGGUUUGUUCCCAGUCACACAACCAGGGAUCCUUAGGACAGCCAGACCAGGAAACCAUUUCCAAACUGCCAAGCCAUGGCAGAGUAUCAAGACCUCAGGAACCAUCGAGACACCAUGGAAGCAUUGGGAAAAGCCUCCUUAGCUUUUGAAGCUCCUCAUUGUUCUUGAGUGUGCAUGGAGCCCAUGACUGCGGGGUUUUGUAGACACCUCAGGGAUUACAUGACUGGUACCCCUGACAAAGUCAAGGCUGCUGGACAAAAUGAGUCCGAGGAUUUCAGGGGCAGCUGGGCGCAGGAGCUGGUGGGCUGUUGGGAGUGCCCCUUUACUGGGCAGGCUUCCUUCCUCCUGGUGAUGGGGGGUUCCUCAGCACAAAAGUGAAGGGGUGGAGGGGCUGGAGGAGCAGGAAUCUCUCUUGUUGAUAGGUAUGAGGCCUUGAAGUCCUUUUCUUUGUCCCAGGAUUCAUGGACGCUUCGGGGCUGAUCUUUGAGUUUUCAAGCAUGGGGUGCAGAGACGUUUAGGUAAACUCUUACCGUCCUCUCUCUUCGUCAGGGCUUCCCAGGAAUCAACAAUGCCCAAGAAGGAAGGGAUUGUAGAAAUAGCUUAACCCUUUCAUUUACCAACGUGGAAAUUGAAGCCCAGGGAAGGGAAGGGACCGGUCGUGGAAGGGAGAGCCAUCAGCAGAAAGAGACCCUGAGAUCUUCGCCUGGGAUUCCCAGGAAGUCCAGCCCGAGCUGAUUCACAGAACAAAUGCAUGCAAACCUUGCUAUCAAUAAAUUACACAUGCACUUACGUAAAACACAUAAAAAUAUAUGGCCUUGGUUUUGGAACAAUACCCCACAGAUAAAAGUAGCUUUAAAUCCUCCAUAAAAUGAUAAAGUCUAGUCCUAAACUCCUAGCAGUUCUGCGGGUGAUCACAGGCGGCAGGAGCCGCUCAAACUUUAAUGGCUUGGUAUCUCCACAUGUAGACAGGAGGCAGAAAACCAUCGGGGAUGAAGUCGUGGGCUCUAGAAUUGCAAAGACGUGGGUUCCAGGCCAGGCUUGGCCCUUGCUAACUGUUGACCUUGAGCAAAUUACCCAACCUGUUCCUUAUUUGUUUCUGCCUCAUAGGUAGUUGUGCAGAUGAAAUGAUAUCAGUUCUCAGAACAGUGCUGGGGACAGAGUACACUCUAUGCUCAAUACAUAUUCACUUUUAGAGAUAUCUUGGGAUUCUCAGUCUAAGUGACAUUCAAAAGUACCUCACUGGGAGGCAAGACCAAGGUGGAGCCUCCUCUUGGAUGGGAUGUGGGCCUAUUUUAUUUUACUUCUUUAUUUUUGUAGGUGCAUGCCACCACACUUGCUAAUUAAUUUUUUUUUUUUUUUUUUGUAGAGAUGGGGUCUCACUAUGUUGCUCAGGCUGGUCUUAAACUCCUGGCCUCAAGCAAUCCUCCUGCCUCAGCCUCCCACAGUGCUGGGAUUACAGGCAUGAACCACUGAGCCCGGCACCUCUAUUUUAAAUCUAUUUUAUCUUUUGAGAUAUAGUCUUGCUCUGUCACCCAGGCUGGAGUGCAGUGGCGCGAUCUCAGCUCCCUGUAACCUCUGCCUCUCGGGUUCAAGCAAUUCUUCUGCCUCAACCUCCCAAGUAGCUGGGACUACAGGCGCCCGCCACCACGCCUGUCUAAUUUUUUGUAUUUUUAGUAGAGACAGGGUUUCACCAUGUUAGCCAGGAUGGUCUUGAACUCCUGACCUCGUGAUCUGCCUGCCUCGGCCUCCCAAAGUGCUGGGAUUACAGGCGUAAGCCACUGCACCCGGCUAUUUUAAAUCUACAGACAAAUCACCCAUGAAGUGCAGUGGGGGAAUAGAGGGCUGGGCUCAGUUAAUUCAGAAGAAGAUUUAUCCCAGGAUCAGGAAAUGAGAGUUUCAGAUGUUGCCAGUAGCUUAAGUGGCUUUUAGGGCCUUUUUUCUGUCUGGCCAGGGCUCAUCCUGGGCUGAGCUUUAAGGCCUGUUAGGGGCUGAAUUCUGUCCCCCUCAAAGUUUAUAUGUUGAACUCAUAACCCCAGUACCUUAGACUGUGACUGUAUUUGGAGAUAGGGUCUCUAAAGAGGUAAUUAGGUUAAAAUGAGGUCACUAGGGUGGGCCCUAGUCCAAUAGAAAUGUGUCCUUGUUGGAUAAGGGGCAACGUGGACACAGACACGUGCAGAGGGGAGCCCCUGUGAAGAAGCGGGGAGAAGACAGUCACCUGCAAGCCACAGACGGGGCCUGUGAAGGAACCAAUCCUGUCAAUACCUUGGUCUUGGUCUUGGCCUUCCAGCCUCCAAAACCCAGAGGCCAUCAAUUUCUGGUGAGGCAGCCCUAGCCGCCUUUCUAAGCGUUCAUACUCCUGGUUUGGCAGAGGGGAAGGGACCACGGCCAGCGCUUCUUAAACCUUCGUGUGUGUGAAACUCACUUCCUGGGGAGCUGGAUCAAGAUGCAGAUUCUAUGACCAUCUAGUUUCCCCUUUCUCAUCCCUUAUCUAAUUUGCUCCUCUGUGGAACUGUGUGAAGUAGACAGGGCAAGAAUUUUCAUCCCCAUUUUCCAGAUUAAGAAACUGAGUCUCAGAUGGAAGAAUCACAGCAAGUGAGAGGCAGUCAAGCCUCCAACUCAGGUCAAGUGAGGCGUCCUCACAUCCCAUGCCCCCCGUAAUUUCCCGAUCCCUAGCAGGGGCACCUGGGGAGACUCCCUGGUGAUGCUGUGUCAGGACUCCCUUCUUUAUUUUGAGACAGAGUUUCACUCUUGUCACCCAGGCUGGAGUGCAGUGGUGUGAUCUCAGCUCAUUGCAACCUCCACCUCCCAGGUUCAAGCAAUUCUCCUGCCUCAGCCUCCCAAGUAGCUGGGAUUAUAGGUGCCUGCCACCAUGCCUGGCUAAUUUUUGUAUUUUUAGUUGAGACGGGGUUUCACCAUGUUGGCCAGGCUGGUCUUGAACUCCUGACCUCAGGUGAUCCACCUGCCUCGACUUCCCAAAAUGCAGGGAUUACAGGUGUGAGCCACCGUGCCUGGCAGGGCUCCCUUUUUGACAGACACUGUCUUAGACCUCAGGCUCCCUCAGGCCUUCGCUCUUGGGGGUUGGAGCUGAGGGGAGGAUGGAAAGUGUCCCUCCCCAUCACAGCGCAGCUAGCUGGUGAGAGGGGCUGGGAGCUCCCGGAUCUGUCUGGACAUGCAGCCACUCCUGGCAGUCCCCACCCCUCCUUCCACCCAGCCCCUCUGCCUUCCAGCAAGUGAAUGAAGUCAGGCAGGCCCUGGGCCAUCCCGGGUGAAGGAGGGAGUGGGCAUGGCUUGGCACUCCAAGGGCUCGCCAUUGGGAGGGGCGUGGAGACGGUGUGAACUCCUUGGUGUCUUGCUCUUGUCAUCUUCCAGCAUGACAUAUGCACAAAGGUACCUUUUAUAGGUGGGAAAUUAUAGGUGCUGCCACUUCAAAGGCCUUGGCAACCAGAGCUCCUCUUUGAUAGAUGACAGUAUUAUUAAUGGUGAUUUAUUGCUGGGGCCAUUUUGACAACAGAAAUAACCAGUUUCCCCACCUUUUCGGCUCUCUUCUCCCACACCUUCCUGGGGAUUUUUUUUUAUUUUGGCUGGCCCUGUGUGUUUUUCUGGCUGCAGGGGUUACCUCCCUGCACGAGGAGGCAUGGGAGGUAACCCAUGGAGCAUCUGCUUAAGGCACAUAGUGAGGCAUCUGGCUUAUUAACUUGUCAUCAUGUGUCAUAAAGUUUAGUGAAAUGCUGGCAGAUUGUAAUCCUAAACAGGGCAAUUACCCUCUUAUUAAAGCAGUACUUUUUCUGUCUGUCUGUCUGUCUCUCUCUUAUUUUUCUCUCUCUCCCUGCCUCCACCCCCUUUCCUGGGAUUGUUGUUACCUCUGCCCUACUUGCACAAUUAGUCAUGAGCGGAGGUCACCUGCUUCAUAAUGAUCCCAGAGUAGGCCUGGCCUUGGCGGGGCAGAGCUGAAGGGGAAGGGGCAAAGGAGAGCUAACCAUGGUGAGGCUUGCUGCAGCAAGCUGGCCUCACGGGGCAUGGGGACAAGGCGCUGUCCCAGGCGGGAGGCUGCAGUAAGAAGGUUGUGGUCUGAGGUUUCUGGCUGCAGGCAGCGAGAAGGAGAGAGGAGAGAGAGCUGACAGGAGCGACUGAGCCUCUGUGGACUUCGCCGCUCACCCAGAUUUUCCGGCAGAGAUGCCUCCCUCUGCCUUUUUCUCCCUCACUUUCGUAUCUCGAAACACAGGUGGAAAAUAAGAAAGGAAGUGGCAGUGGGUGAUGGGGGCCUGGGACAUGAGGACUCCUCACUUGAUCUGAAUUGGAGGCUUGGCUGCCACUCACUUGCUAUGAUUCUUCCAUCUGAGACUCAAUUUCUAAAUCUGUGAAAUGGGGGUGAAACAUCUUGCCCUGUCUGCUUCCCACAGUUUUAGGGAAGAUCAAAUUAGAAAAGGGAUAGGAAAGGGGAUGGCUCAUGGUAACUCACUCCACAAAUCUGAGGGAUGAUUGUAAUUUCAUAUGUGUGACCACAGGGUCUUAUGUCAUGUCUAACGGAGCUCUACCCCCGUGAUUCCAAAGGAUCGUUGACUAUAUUGAAAUUUGGUCUUCUGUCUCUUUCUGUAUUCCUCAGGGUUUUGAUGACCUUGGUUUCUAAAUCUGCCUGGGAGGCAUUGUUUGACUCUGGUCUGAACAACAGGAGUUUUCGGCACAGGUGUGAUCAUGUUACCUGCACAGUGCGAGGUUAAGAAGACAAAUGGGGGUAGGCUAGAGGCAACAGCCAAAUCACAAUUUGCCAGAUCUGAAAAGACCUUAGAGAUUACCUAGCUGAAUUGUCCCCUGCUGUAGAUUUGUAAAUCGAGGCUCGAAGAGGUAGAAUAACUUUCCUAAAAAUCAUCAGAUAAAUGACAGGCAGAGUGGAGACUAGAUCUCCCAUCGCCAGACUUGGCCCAGUGCUCUGUCCACCAAAGCAUGUUGACUGCAUCAACUCUGGGUGCACCUUCUCCUCCUUUAUCAUCAGUCAGCGUUCAGGAAAGCACUGCUAGCAGUCAUUUACACCUUAGCAUGAAUUUAAGCCAACAUUUAGUUCUCCCAGGUGCAUUUGCUUUUUUUUUUUUUGAGAUGGAGUUUUGCUCUUGUCGCCCAGGCUAGAGUAUAAUGGUGUGAUCUCAGCUCAUUGCAACCUCCACCUCCCGGGUUCAAGCGAUUCUCCUGCCUCAGCCUCCUGAGUAGCUGGGAUUACAGGCACCUGCCACCACGCCUGGCUAAUUUUUGUAUUUUUAGUAGAGACGGGGUUUUGCCAUGUUGGUCAGGCUGGUGUCAAACUCCUGACCUUAGGUGAUCUGCCCACCUCGGCCUCCCAAAGUGCUGGGAUUACAGGCGUGAGCCACUGUGCCCAGCCGCAUUUGCUUUUGAGGUCUCAUCCCAUUGUAUAGAUUGUUCCCUGUCAAUGGCAUUUCCAGCACUGGUGAGAAGAGAGGCAAGGCAGGGCUUGUGAUUCUCAUCCCCAAGACCCUGCCACUUGCCUACUCGCUCGGGCAAUGAGGGCGGGCACUGCUUCCAGAGUUAAACUGCACUGGACCCAGAUCUAUGUGUCCAUAAGUCAGAGCAAGUUUGUCAGAAGCUGUCAGGGAGUAAGGCUGAGUAGACGGAUGGAGUCAGACUCAUUUAAAAAUGGAAUACCAGCAGAUAGGUUUAAAAAUGGAAUGCGGCCGGCUAGAGUGAAGGUGGUCCCUAAACCAAACACCUGUCCCUUCUGUGUGUUUUCUGGUUUCUUUCCCCAUUGCUCGAGAAUGCUAGAAGCCAGACUAGUAUUAAGAACUCUAAAUUCCUAGCCUGGCAUGGUGGUUUACACCUGUAAUCCCAGCAACUUGGGAGAUCAAGGCAGGAGGGGAUCACUUGAGCCCAGGAAUUUGAGACCAACCUGGGCAACGUGUUGAAACCCCAUCUCUACAAAAAAUACAAAAAUUAGUCAGGCAUGUGGUGCAUGCCUGUAGUCUCAGCUACUUGGGAGGUUGAGGUGGGAGGAUUGCUUAAGCCCAGGAGGUCGAGGCUGCAGUGAGCCAUGAUCGCGCCACUGCACUCUAGCCUGGGUGACAGAGCGAGACCUUGUCUCAAGACAAACAAACAAACAAACAAACAAAAAACUCUUAAGUUCUAAGUGCCUGGAGCAGGGAGUGUUUCUGAGGCCUCAUGUUUACCAGGGCACUGUGCUAUGUGCAGGGUAGUGAGGGGGAGAGACACCAUUCCAACAUCUUGGAGCCCAAGUCUAGAGUCAGGGCCACAGAGGCGGGAGAGGAAGAGAAUCCCACUGCAAAUGGGCUGGGCCUCCCUGCCUUUGCCCAUUGAGUGAGCAACAGUGCUGUUUCUAUAGGUCUCUUUGAGCCUUAAGCAUGGAAUGUGAUGAGACUGAACAGUGAUAAAAUGUAUUGAUGGAACUUCUGUUCAUUGAAAUGCAAAGGGGAAGAAAGAAUUUAGAAAUGAUCUGAGGUUUCCAGCUUGGGGAGAGAGAAAGUGAGAGGAAGUGGGGGCCUAAGGGGAAUGGAAUGAACAGCCCCGACUUCAGGCUUGUAGACUGCAAUGGGGCAAGGCAGCUACAUGCAAAUGUCCUUCCUGGAGCCUGGAAACAAGGUCAAAGCAGAGAUGGACAAGUAGGAGCGCAGCCUAGAGGAGAUAGGUGAUGCCUGAAGCCAUGAGAAGGGGUGUUAUCUCUGCAGGAAGAAGAAUUGCAACACUCCUCCCAGCUGAGCAAACAGUCUGGGCUGGGAUGUGAGUGGUAUCACACUCUGCACUCACUUCCUCCUUCAGUGGUCAUUUGAGAGUUCACUGGGGCUGACCUACCCCAUUGGUCCUGGAGGACAGAAAGGAAUGGAGAAUAAAGAAGGUCUAAGGUGCAGUUUUUCCCCCUCCUCCAAAGCCAUGAAGGGACCUAUGGAUUUGAAAGCUGUGUGUGGUCACUGUGGACAGAGUGACUCCUACCCCACUGGGGGGCUUUGCCAGCCAAGGCACAAAUCAAGCCUUCUCUUUGCCCUCUGAAGUCAAAGGGAGAAGACCGGGGUUGUCCAUCUUUAUAGGCAGCCUCAGAUGAUCCAACCUAAUAUACGUCAUUAACAAAUUGUGUGAUCUUGAACAAGUCAGUUUAUCUCAUUGUGACUCAAGUGAACAUAAGGGUAUAGAGCAUUUGCCCUGCUGACCUCACUGGAUCAUUGUGAAAUAAUAGCUAAUGAGAUGGUGCAUAGCAGGUGUUUUGUAAACUUAACAGUGAUAGGCAAAGCUUAGUUCCCAUGAGAAUGACUCUCUGACUAUUAUCUAUGGCAUUGGAAUACUGACCUCCCUUCUCUGAGAAAGCUCCAGCGGCAAAAUGCUUCUGAUCUCAAACUUUAGGACCAAUUUUCUGGUUUACAGGGCAGGACGAGCCCCUUCUCUUAAGGAUCAAGGGGAUGAAGGAGAAUUCCCUGCUUUUGGUGGGGGGUUACUUCUGAAAGCCAUGCCCUGCUCCCAUCUGAGGAGGUCACCCAGUCCUAGUUUUGUCUGGAAGCACCCUGCCCAGCCCCAGGGGCCAGCCCCAUCCCAGCCAGGCCUCAGAGAUGUCAGACCUGAAAGGCAGCUGCUGCCUCUCCUUCUGACAGGUGUCUCCGCCAGAGCUGGGAGAUGAGGAGAUAGGCGAGCUGAGCACCUUUCCUCCUUGAAUUGAUAACUGCUUUGCAAUGCAGCUCUGUACUUGCUAAAUGAAACCUCCUGCCCCACCAUGAUGGAUUUAUGGCUGAAACAUCUUAUCUCAACUGAGAAUAUUUUAUGAGUGUGCAUGGGUGUGUGUGGGAUAGGAGGAGGGAAAAGGCAGUUUUGCAAACAUUUCUAGAGGUGCUCCAUAAUCUGCCCUACCCUGAAGUAUUAUCUAGAAGCUCUUUCUAGAUCUGCCAGGCUUAAGCAUCUAUAAGUCUUCUCCAGAUGCUAGCACAAUGUAGAUGCCUCAUGAAACAUUUGCUGAUGAUGAUGAUGACGAUGAUGACGAUGAAGGCUGUGGUCUGGAAGGGGACUCUGUUUUUGAUAAGUUUAAUUCAAUCCAGCAAAUAUUGAACAAAUGCUCAUUUUUGUUCAGGGCUAGGAAAGCUACUAUUAUUAUUUUUUUGGUGGGGUGGAGAAAGGGGAGAGUUGGAGAAUAUAAAAAUAAAUGACACAAACUCUUUUCUCUACAUCCUUGGUCUAUACUGAGGGGCCAGGACAUGCACAUUCGGAGUGGAUGUGGAGCAGAAGGGGUUGGAGUGGCAAGAACUAAUGGCCCAGAGUGUAGCUUCAGGAGCUGGACACACCUGGUGGGAUCUUUAGGUAGUUUCUUGUCUUUUGAGCUCCUCAGUUUUCUCCCCUCUAACAGGGGGACAACACUAUUCCCUAGCUCUAAGGUUGGUGUGAAGGUCAUAGGAUUUGCGUAGGGGUUACUUGGUACCAUGUGGGGUCAGCAGCUCAGUAGCAUCACCAACACGAGGAUGAAGAUGAAGGACCGACUCACUGACGAGGGUGGGCUGGAGAUGACUGGGAGCCAGGAACCAUCACAAACUCAGGGCUCUGUGUGCACUGGUUAUCCCAUUCUUUUGCAACCUUGUAAAAUUAAUUUAAUAGGUAGUACAUCCAAGUGGUUUAAAAAGCAAAAGGUAUAAAGAAAUAUGCAGUGAAGAUGAAAAUUGCUCUCAGUUCUGACCCCUCACUAUUGUGCUCCUCCUUCUCAGAGGCAGCUGUUGUCAUUGGUUUCUGGGGCAUUCUUUCCAAGGGCGUUGUACACCCAGCAUCUAAUGAUGCUACCUCUUCUUCCUCUUUCUUGUUUUAACCCAAAAGGAGGAAUUGGGAGUUGAUGAUAGCCAUAGAGUGGAAGGCAGCAGCUGGAGGGAGGAAGCUGGAUGUAUCUGAGCAUCUACUACGUGCCAGGCCCAGAUGAAAUCUUAUCAGUUCUAGCGAAAUUUGGAGAAAGAUUCACUGUCUUAGAAUUUGAAAACAUCAGUGCUGGAGGGGAAGGUGGAAGCCAUCUGGCUAAUCUUCAUUUACUGAUAUGGAAGUGACUAGUCCAAAGUCCCAGAGCUUUCUGAUUUUUGCUUCUUCUUGCUAGGAAAGCAAUUAUCCUAUAAUAAUCCUUCUUUACAGGUAAAAAUAUUUUAUGGUGCACCUGCCUCCCUUGCCAGUGGAAUGACAGUCUCCAUAGACCUGUGGGCCAUCUGGGCCCUGGGCCAGCCUCCUUGUCUCACACUAGCUUGUUGGGGACCUGCCCUUGCUGGCACCCAUCAUUCCAGCUCCCUCCUGUUGUAACUCCUGCCCCAAAUCCCAGGACUUGUCGCUGCCAGCUUUUUCCCCUGUUGUUCCUUGUCUUCCCACCCUUCUCAGGACUCAGGUCACCAGGAUAGGUGGACAUCCAAUUCCUGCUGGAGUGCCAGCAGGAGAGAUUUGGGGAACUCUUCCAGGUAAAGGGGGUUUUACCUGCUAAGGGUUGACUUGUGUCUCCCCCACAAAUUCAAAUAGUGAAGUCCUAAACCUGCCAGUACUUCAGAAUGUAAUUAUCUUUGUAGAUAGGGUCUUUAAUGGGGUAAUUAAAUUAAAGUGAGGUCACUAGGGUGGGGCCUAAUCCAAUAUGACUGGUGUCCUUAUAAGAAGAGGAAAUUAGGACACAGACAGGCACAGAGCGAUGACCAUGUGAAGACACAGGGAAGAGAUGGCCACCUACCACCAAGCCAUGGUCACCUACCAUCCAAGCCAUGGUCACCUAUCACCAAGCCACAGUCAUCUACCAUCCAAGCCACCGUCACCUACCAUCCAAGCCAUGGCCACCUACCUGCCAAGCCAUGGCCACCUACCCGCCAAGCCAUGGUCACCUACCCACCAAGUCAUGGUCGCCUACCAUCCAAGGAGCGAGGCCUGGAACAGAUCCUUCCCCAGAGCCCUCAGUAGGAGCCAACCCUGCUGACACCUUGAUCUCAGACUUCAAGCCUCCAGAACUGUGGGACAAUCCUUCACUGUCAUUUAAUCCACCCAGCAUGUGGUCUCUUGUCACAGUUGCAUUAGCCAGUGAACCUACCCGGGCCCUUCUGCAGUCACCUGGCUCAGGAGUGGUUCUGGUCAGGAAGUUCUGAGGCCAGGCAGGAUCGGGACACUCCCUGGAAAGACCCGAGGGAGAUAUUUGGGAAACAAGAGGGCUGGUGUGGCUUCUCAACAUGCCCACCAUAAAUCCUGCGCCAUCCCAGGGCCGAUGGGACCUGCUGUGUGUGCGGUAAACUGAAUGCCAGGAAGCCAGGCUCUGUCGAUCCCUGGUUCUGACUGUUGUGGGAUCUUGAGCAAAUCCCCUCGCCUCUCUGGGUCUCAGUUUCCUGAUUUGUGGGAUGGAGAAAAGGAUUAACUGUCCCACUUACCUUGAGGCUGUGGUGUGGAUUAAAUGAUUAAAAUGCAUAAGUGCAAUUGCAAAAAUAUAGAACCAGCCCAUCAAUCAAUGAGUGUAUAAAGAAACUGUUGUGUAUAUAAUAUAUAUAAUGGAAUACUACUCAGUCAUAAAAAGGAAUGAAUUAAUGGCAUUCGCAGCAACCACGAUGAGAUUGAAGACUACUAUUCUCUUUUUUUGCUUUGUUUUUGAGAUGGAGUCUUCCUCUGUCACCCAGGCUGGAGUGCAGUGGCACGAUCUUGGCUCACUCCAACCUCCGCCUCCCAGGUUCAAGUGAUUUAAGAUUGGAGACUAUUAUUCUAAGUGAAGUAACUCAGGAAUGGAAAAGCAAACAUCAUAUGUUCUCACUCAUAAGUGGAGCUAAGCUGUGAGGAUGUAAAGGCAUAAGAAUGAUACAAUGGACUUUGGGGACUCAGGGGGAAAGGGUGGGAAAAGGGUGAGGGAUAAAAAGCUACAAAUUGGGUUCAGCGUACACUGCUUGGGUGAUGGGUGCACCAAAAUCUCACAAAUCCCCACUAAAGAACUUACUCAUGUAACCAAAUACCACCUGUUCCCCCCAAAUCUAUGGAAAUUAAAAAAAAUUAAAUAAAGUGUGCAAGUGCUGGCGAGGCCCCGA